AGAUGAGAUUUGGGUGGGGACACAGCCAGACCAUAUCAGUCCCUCAGGCUGGAGCUAGCAGCAUACCUCAAUGAUGGGCCACUGAGUCUCUGUCCUGGAAAGUGAGAUUUGAACGUGAGGAAAACAGUGAGCAAGACUCUUGAGUGCUGAGUUGCGGUUGCAGGAGAGCCUCAAAAGAUAGCCCAUAGCCCCCUGCGGCUGAGUCCCCAGAGCUGGCUUUUCUGUGAUCCAGUCCUUCCAUGCUCUGUGAGGCUCACCCACAACCUGGCAGUCCUUCCAAUAUUUUUGUGUGUUUAUUUGUUUAAGCAAUCCAAAAGGGUCUCUAAGACUAUGUUUUUGUAAGUAUAACUUACAAAGUUAUACUUUGUAACCGAAAGAAGUAUAACUAGCACAGGUAUUAGCAUAUUUCACAAGUUGGGCUGAUAUUCUCCCUCAAUUUUGUCCUUAGUAUUAGUUUCCACAGCAAACUCAUCCUUUAUCUUAGUCCAUCAUUGUGCUUAGCCUUUUCGUGGAUGAUUGUAAUCCUCAAAUUAGUGGCACUCAGUGAGGCCUGAUCCCAUGGAGUAAACAUUUAUCCAAGUCUUUUUGGUGGCAUCUGGGAAGGGAUUUGUCCCUGUGGCGGAUGAUAUAUGGCUUCAAGGCCUUUGCUGCUCUUCCCAUAAAAGGUGGAGUCUAUUUCCCCUUUCUCUGAGUUUAGACAUCAGUUGUGGCUUGACCUAAUACUAUGGGAGAAGUGAUACAACAUGAGGCUUAGCCUUAAGUUCUGCAGCUUCUGCUUUUACAUGCUGGAAUGCUCCUUUUGGGAAGCCAGCUGCCAUGUAUGAAAUCCGAGUGAUCUGGAACUGCCAUGUUGUGAGGAAGCCCAAGCUAACCAAAUACAGCGAGAGGUCUCAUGGAAGAACACUUAGGCACCAGACAUGUGAGCAAAGCCUCUGCGGCCUUCCAGGCCAGCUCAGCCAGUCAUGGUAUGAAUGCAGCUAAGUGAAUGACUCUGGCUGGCACUACAUGGAGCCAAAGAACCGCUUGGCUAAGUCCUGAAUUCCUAACCCACCGAAUCUUCAGCAAAUAAAGCCAUUGUUGUUUUCAGCCACUGAGAUUUGGGGUCAUCUGUUACAUUGCAAUGGAUUCUCCAAACAGUACCAUACUUAAAAGACUUUUCAAGUCAUUGUUCCUUUUCCUUUUUCUUUUUGAAGAACUCCAAAGCAUAGCUUGCCUGACAGAUACUACAUAACCCAACAUCACACCUGGAUAAAUGAUGUUCCCAUGGACUAGAAGGCUGAGAUCUGAUGUGAUGACUGGCGGUGUGGCAGUUGUCUUGUGCUCCUGAGAGAAUGGACAAGACAGUAAUAAAGACUCAUCUGUGACAUCUUCAAGCUGCUGAAACAAUACUGGAAUAUUGGAACUGUUGUCCUUCUGCUAGCCAGGGGCUGGGAAGUCCAAGAUCAGGUAGCCGCAUCCGAUCAGCUUCUUGUGAGGGCCUCAUCCUGCGUCAUAACUUGG
Molecule: long non-coding RNA, 1500 nt
Organism: Cercocebus atys (sooty mangabey)
Lineage: Eukaryota; Metazoa; Chordata; Mammalia; Primates; Cercopithecidae
Exons: 3
Source: RefSeq, a predicted model, not a curated record